This 69-nucleotide transfer RNA is filed under the name Upogebia major. RNAcentral's name for it is "tRNA-Tyr". It matches the Rfam family "tRNA". From Rfam's summary of the family: Transfer RNA (tRNA) molecules are approximately 80 nucleotides in length. Their secondary structure includes four short double-helical elements and three loops (D, anti-codon, and T loops). Lineage: Eukaryota; Metazoa; Arthropoda; Malacostraca; Decapoda; Upogebiidae. The record is from RNAcentral.
AAUGAGAUGGCCGAGAAAAAUUAGGCAUUAGAUUGUAAAUCUAAAAACGGGAACUUAUCUCUCUCAUUA